RNAcentral lists this transfer RNA (69 nucleotides) under Bos taurus (domestic cattle). It matches the Rfam family "tRNA". From Rfam's summary of the family: Transfer RNA (tRNA) molecules are approximately 80 nucleotides in length. Lineage: Eukaryota; Metazoa; Chordata; Mammalia; Artiodactyla; Bovidae. The record is from Rfam by way of RNAcentral. RNAcentral also lists the same sequence under 4 other names.
CCUGGUGGCUCAGAGGUUAAAGCGUCUGCCUGCAAUGCUGGAGACCUGGGUUUGAUUCCUGGGUCAGGA